AGGUCAUUUCAAAGAGAGCUUACGGGACCAAAACCAGGAGCUCUUAACGCUGUGACCUAAGAUCAAAGUUCUCCAUAGGAUGUAAUAGACACUCUGUAGUGUUACGUUUUCCUGAGGAGAUACAAGA
This is a small nucleolar RNA of Molossus molossus (Pallas's mastiff bat), 127 nucleotides long. RefSeq annotates it as small nucleolar RNA SNORA25. The transcript has a single exon. The record is from RefSeq and is a predicted model, not a curated record. NCBI's taxonomy places the organism in Eukaryota, Metazoa, Chordata, Mammalia, Chiroptera, Molossidae.